Molecule: ribosomal RNA, 253 nt
Filed under: uncultured bacterium
Lineage: Bacteria
Description: partial 16S ribosomal RNA
Rfam family: Bacterial small subunit ribosomal RNA
Source: RNAcentral
UACGUAGGUGGCAAGCGUUGUCCGGAUUUAUUGGGUUUAAAGGGUGCGUAGGCGGUCUUGUAAGUCAGUGGUGAAAUACGGCAGCUCAACUGUCGAGGUGCCAUUGAUACUGUAGGACUUGAGUACAGACGAGGUAGGCGGAAUUGACGGUGUAGCGGUGAAAUGCUUAGAUAUCGUCAAGAACACCGAUAGCGAAGGCAGCUUACUAGGCUGUAACUGACGCUGAGGCACGAAAGUGUGGGGAGCAAACAGG